GGCAACGGACUUUGACUCCGUCAUGCGUGGGUUCGAAUCCCGCCUCCCCAGCCA
Molecule: transfer RNA, 54 nt
Filed under: Oscillospiraceae bacterium
Lineage: Bacteria; Bacillati; Bacillota; Clostridia; Eubacteriales; Oscillospiraceae
Description: tRNA-Ser
Rfam family: tRNA
About the family: Transfer RNA (tRNA) molecules are approximately 80 nucleotides in length. Their secondary structure includes four short double-helical elements and three loops (D, anti-codon, and T loops). Further hydrogen bonds mediate the characteristic L-shaped molecular structure. tRNAs have two regions of fundamental functional importance: the anti-codon, which is responsible for specific mRNA codon recognition, and the 3' end, to which the tRNAs corresponding amino acid is attached (by aminoacyl-tRNA synthetases). tRNAs cope with the degeneracy of the genetic code in two manners: having more than one tRNA (with a specific anti-codon) for a particular amino acid; and 'wobble' base-pairing, i.e. permitting non-standard base-pairing at the 3rd anti-codon position.
Source: RNAcentral